RNAcentral lists this ribosomal RNA (236 nucleotides) under uncultured bacterium. Its description in RNAcentral is "partial 16S ribosomal RNA". It matches the Rfam family "Bacterial small subunit ribosomal RNA", at positions 15 to 240 of the family's 1533-position model. The record is from RNAcentral.
GAUCCUGGCUCGGGAUGAACGCUAGCUACAGGCUUAACACAUGCAAGUCGAGGGGCAGCAUGUAUCUGGCUUGCCAGAUAUGAUGGCGACCGGCGCACGGGUGAGUAACGCGUAUCCGACCUGCCGCACACUCCGGGAUAGCCUUGCGAAAGCAAGUUUAAUACCGGAUGCCGUAAUGGCGCCGCAUGGUGUUUUUACGAAAGGGAUUUACCGGUGUGCGAUGGGGAUGCGUCCCA